The submitters of this non-coding RNA (81 nucleotides) gave its source as unclassified sequences. The record is from Rfam.
AUACUGAAAUGCAUGGUGGGAAAUCUUUGUGAAAUUCAUUGGCUGUACCUGCAACCGUAAAGUCGGAGCGCCACCCAGUAG